RNAcentral lists this small nuclear RNA (19 nucleotides) under Arabidopsis thaliana (thale cress). RNAcentral's name for it is "snRNA_04166". Lineage: Eukaryota; Viridiplantae; Streptophyta; Magnoliopsida; Brassicales; Brassicaceae. The record is from RNAcentral.
AACUGAUCAUUUGGAUGAU